This 421-nucleotide ribosomal RNA is filed under the name uncultured bacterium. RNAcentral describes it as "bacterial SSU rRNA". It matches the Rfam family "Bacterial small subunit ribosomal RNA", at positions 356 to 774 of the family's 1533-position model. The record is from RNAcentral.
AAGGAAUAUUGGACAAUGGAGGCAACUCUGAUCCAGCCAUGCCGCGUGAAGGAAUAAGGCCCUAUGGGUUGUAAACUUUUUUUAGACGGGACAAAACCCCUUUACGUGUAAAGGGUUGAUGGUACUGUCAGAAUAAGCAUCGGCUAACUUCGUGCCAGCAGCCGCGGUAAUACGAAGGAUGCAAGCGUUAUCCGGAAUUAUUGGGUUUAAAGGGUGCGUAGGCGGACUAAUAAGUCAGUGGUGAAAGCCUGCAGCUUAACUGCAGAAUUGCCAUUGAUACUGUUAGUCUUGAGUACAGUUGAGGUAGGCGGAAUGUGUCAUGUAGCGGUGAAAUGCUUAGAUAUGACACAGAACACCGAUUGCGAAGGCAGCUUGCUAAGCUGUAACUGACGCUGAGGCACGAAAGCGUGGGGAGCAAACA